Molecule: non-coding RNA, 21 nt
Filed under: Caenorhabditis elegans
Lineage: Eukaryota; Metazoa; Nematoda; Chromadorea; Rhabditida; Rhabditidae
Source: RNAcentral
UUCUGUUGUGGAUGCUAAUUU